Equus caballus (horse) is the source of this 4095-nucleotide long non-coding RNA. RefSeq lists it as uncharacterized. The record is from RefSeq and is a predicted model, not a curated record. NCBI's taxonomy places the organism in Eukaryota, Metazoa, Chordata, Mammalia, Perissodactyla, Equidae.
AUGUCCAGAAUAGGAAAAUCCAUAGAGAUAGAAAGUAGCUUAGUGGUUAGGAGAGGCUGAUGGGAAGAGGAGUUGGGGAGUGACUACUAAUGGGUAUGGGGUUUCUUUUGGGGAGGAUGAAAUGUUUUGGAGUUAGGUACUGGUGAUGGUUGCACAAUUUUGUGAAUAAACUAAAACCAAUGAAUUGUAUACUUAAAAAAUACACUAGGUCUAAAAAAAUUAAAUAAGUUUUUCCCCCCAGCCAUUUGCACAUGCUGUUCCCUCUUUCAGGAAUAAUCUCCAUAUCUUUCCCUAUCCCCAAUCCUAUGUUUAAAAAUUGUCUUUCUUUGUCUCCACUAACAAUAUUUGUCUUAAAGCUACUUUUCUGCUGUUGAUAUAGUCCCCCAUGUUUUGGUUACUAUUUGCAUAGUAUAUCUUUUUCCAUCUUUUCACUUUCAAUCUAUUGGUGUCUUUGAAUCUAAAGCAUAUUUCUUGUAAAUUGUUUUAAAAAAUCUUUUCUGCCAAUCUCUGCCUUUUGUUUGGAGUGUUUAAAGCAUUUACACUUAAUGUAAUUACUGACAAGGUGGGAUUUAUGUCUGCCAUUUUGCUACUUGUUUUCUAUACAGCUUUUGUCUUUUUUUUGCUUCACUACUGCCUUCUUUCAUGUUAGAGAUUGUCUGUGGUAUCAUUUUAAUUCUAUAAUUUUGAAAUUAUUUUCUUAGUGGCUGCCUUGGCAUUAUCAUUAGCAUCUUAAUUUAUAAUCUAGUUUGGAAUAACACCAACCUAAUCUCAAUAGCAUGCAAAAACUUUGCUCCUACAUAGCUCUGCUCUGUCCCUCCUUCUUUGUGCUAUUAUUGUCACACAAAUUACAUCAUUAUACAUUAUGUGCAUUAACACAGUUUUAUUGUUAUUGCUUUAUGUACUUGUAUUUUAAAUCGGAAGAGAAAAAAGAAUUACAAACAAAAGAAUGUGUUUACACUAUCUUUUAUAUUCACCUAUGUAGUGGCCUUUACCAGUGCUUUUUAUUUCUUCAUGUGGGUUUGAGUUACUGUCUAGUGUCCUUUCACUUCAGCCUGAAGCAUUCUCUUUAGUGUUUCUUGUAGAGUAGAUCUGCUAGUGACAAAUUUUCUCAGCUUUUUUUUUCUGGGAAUGUCUUAAUUUUUCCUUCAUUUUUGAAGAUAGAUUUGCUGGAUGCAGAAUUCUUAGUUGGCAUUCUGUUUGUUGUUUUUUUUUUUAAACACUUUGUUUCAUCUCAUUGCCUCUGGCCUUCAUGGUGUCUCAUGCCUUCAAACUCAACCAUUCUAAGCCACUGUCCUUGCAGUAAUCAUUACUGCAGUAGUGGCCAAAAUGCAGCAGCCACUUGGCCUCCCAAACACUUAAUUCAUUUAUUAGGCACUUUAUCAAUAAUUUGAUUAACUAUUUGAUGCUAUUCUUUCCCAUGCAUUUCUAGAAUUCCACUUCCCACUGGCAAAAAGCUCAGCGGUGUAUCCAAGUACAAACCAAACCCCAGAUACCCUCUUUCAGAGACUGUGUUUUCUACCACCACUCCUGGUACCAAUUCUUUCCAGUUAGGAGAUAAGAAAAUUCUAAUUGUUUUAACAGAGAGAUUUAAUAUAAAAGUAUUUUAAAGCAGGAACUAGAGAAUUGAAAAGGCAAAGAGGGGAUUCUGCUUUAUCACAGAGGUAGUAAAUGCAAGAAGUGGCAACCAGCUCUACGGCUGGGAGUAAAAAGGGAGGAUGUUAGGAUUAUUAAAAUGUAAAGGUUUGGGAGAGAGCCCAAAGAGCUGGAAUUUAGCUUGGAGAGGGGCCCUUACUUGGCUGGUAUUUCAGCCUUGGACUCAGAGAAUGAACCUCACAGAGCUAGGGGCAAACCUUUGAGAGGGAAAUGCCAGCUGGCUGGUGCUGCUGUUUCUGAGAAUGACUGUAACAAGCUUGAUUCUAGUUGUGUGGGAAAACUGCGAACUGGAACCAAGUGCCACUGCCAGGGUGAAGGACCGUUGCUGUGGUGACACUGACAGGAACAGGAAGCAGACAGGAAGGAGCAAGUCCUUCUUCCUCCAUCAUUCUAGUCUUCCUCUAGAACCUCCUGUGAGCAAAGCCUAACUGGGAACCAGCUGACAUAUAAGAACUGUAGCCUGCAGAGUUGCAGCCCCAGCACUGCAUAGGGCAAAAGGGUGUGUUUGAAGCUGAGAGAUAACAGCUUACUAGCCAGCACACUACCACUUGAUGUUUCCUAUGAUGAUUGAGCGAUUCAGAUUUUCUCCUUCAGUCUAUUUUGGCUGUUUCUUUUGCUAUUUCUCUUUAUAGUUUCUAAAUAACCAUUCGGUAUUACAUCAGCUGCAUGCAAGGAGACCUAAAAUAAAAACAACUUAAACAAGAUAUUUUCUUUCUUUAUCAUCUGAAAGAAGUCCAGAUGUAGGUUGCCUAGGGAUCAAAUGCUGAAUGUUUGUGUCAGGAAAUCAGGCUUUCUAUUUUGUUGCUCUGCAAUUCUCAGCAAAACGUUCUUCAUCGUCAUGGUUCAAGAACCCUGUUUGAACUCCAGUCGUCACGCCCAUUUUCCAGCUAGCAGGAAGGAGAACGGGAAGGAAGAAGACGUGGUCCUCCUUUAAGGGCACCAGAAAUAGCCCAUCCCACCAUCUAGAGCUUAAUCUAUGCCCACACUUGCUUACAAGGGAGGCUGGGAGAUGUUUUUUGAGCAGUCAUGUGUCCAGUUAAAAGUUGGGGACUCUAAGAAAAAAAGGAAUAAAUAUUGGGGAUCACUGUUAGCAUUUGCCACACAGGCAUACAGUGCUAGGGAUCUGCCCGUAUUAUUAAUUUUUGUUUUGCUUUGAAUUUUAAUUUGGUGUUCUUACUCUCAGCUGUGUCUGGUCUCCACCAGUCGAUAGCCCUCACAUUUUCCCCAAACUUCUCCAGACGGUAAACUUCGUUUUCUGCUGAAUUCCUGGAAGGGCCGUCACCUGGUGGUAGAGGUUAAGGGGAGAGGAUAAGGAAGGUGCCUACUCCUCUUAAAAGACUCCAAUAAACUCAUCUGUUUUCAGCUGCACUCCUUACCCUCACCCUUAGAAGAAAUUAGUGCCCCCAACUCCUGAGACUUUCCUGGGUCCUGCAGUAUCAGGAUUUGUUGUUAGCUCUCUGCUGUACCACAGGGGCUUAGCAGAACAGAGAAAGCUAAAACCAAGCCAGCUGGUCAUCUAUUGCUUUCCUUCCAACAGCUGGAUAUUGUUCAUCUGCCAUUAACUCCUCUCGUUGUCUUUGUGGGUUUAUAACUUUUGUUAUUAGCAUGGCGUCGUGGGAGGACACUGACUCUAAAUACUUGACCACACUCCCACAAAACACGAUUUUCAUUCUUACUACUGGGCCAUGAGGAUUUCAGUUAUCUUACAUCUCUUUCUACAAUUGCUAAAGCAGGCAUCAUGAUGGUUGUUGGGACUUCCAUUACCUUCAACCAGUUCAAAUCAAACAAGAAACCUGUGUCCAGGGCUUAUGGCAGUCAGUAGCUCUUUGCUCUCCCAUGAACAUAUCCUUGGCAAACGUAACAGCCACUGUUCAUUGAGUGAUUAUUAUCUAACAGGUAUUGUGUUAAGUACCUUUAAGUAGAUCAUUUCAUUGUAAAUUUCUCAACCACUCCGUGAGGCAGGCAUCAUUUGAUAUUCUAAUUAUUAUUUUACAGAUGCAGAAAACAAGGCUCAGAGGUUGAAUUAUUUGCCCAAUCACACAGCUAGUAGAUGGAUGAGACAUCUUUCUCCAAGACUAUGUUUCAGCUGGAAAAAACAAAGACAAGCUAGAUUACUCAAGACCUGCAACACAAGCAAACACAACAGGAGACUAAACACGCAUCCUUUGGAAGUUUCCCCUCUGCCAAGGGCAAGGCAGGACUGCCUAGUCACAAGGAUUGUGUGGCUUUCCUCCCACUAUUUUUUCAUGGAAGUCUCAUAAGUGAGCUAACUGAGCUGCUGUGUUCCUACUGCCAGGAGACAAUUUCUACCUGGAAUGCCCUCCUGUUGCCUCUGCACUUUCCUGGAAUUUAAGACAUCCUCUGAACCUCAGGUAAAUUUUAUUCCCAACUGAAAUUUUAUCCAAACACUGAAAGCUCUUGAUUCUUUUCUUUAUGUUGUUG